CAAAAGUUGAGGGGGUUGAGGGCUUUCUUUCUCAAAUUUCAAAACUUUAUACAUUUUUUUUAUAGGAGGAAAUCAGUUAAAGCUGUUAUAAAGUGUUUCUUAAGGUUAUUCAUGAAAGGGACAAAACGUAUUGUCCUUGAACGCACCACAAAUCCCGCUGCCAUCCAUACAGCCAAGGAGAAGACGCCUACCAAUAAGCUACAAAUUUAAUGGUGGUCUGUAUCCAUGCCAUCAUCUUGGAUGGUGAGAUUGUUUCUGCUCGCAACACUCGCAUGCCUCAGAGAGUUUUCCUCCUGCUAAUCAAACAGCUUAAAGGGGGAGCAAGUGGAAAUGGACCUAAAAAUAACAGGACAAAUAUGUGUGGAGUUCUGUGUGCACACAGAUAACAACUCAGGCGAUGGCAGCAGAGAUCAGUGCUGUCAGCGCGUAUCAAAUUCCAAAAUCUGCAUCUUGCCUAGUGAAAGAGGAUUUGGGAAAGUAAAUGAGUCCAUCAUUACAACAUGCUGCAGUGACCUGUAACAGAGGCAUCUGACACCUGUGAGACCUGUUUCAGAUUGACUUCAUAUACUAUUACAGAGGAUGUUUGCUCCCUGCACUGUUGUCAUCAUAUUUACAGAUAACCAAUGAAUGAGCCCUAAUGUCCACAGAGGGAGCUGGAGUCAACCAUGUUGCACCACCAUGUUUCUACAGAAGCCCAGAGUGGACAAACUGAACAUCAGCUCAUAGAGGGCUUUUAUUUCUGCAUUUUACUGACUGAAGCAGAGGGUCCUGGAGCAAACCUGAGGGAAGGAGGCGUAUUCAUACAUCAGCACGAGACCAAGCAAGCGUCAGGUUUCAAAUCAACAAGUUCUGGAAGGUUUCCCGUUGGCUUCAGCUCAACUAUCCAGACAUAAAUCUGAUAACUGAACACAUCAUCUAUAAUCAAACAGAAAUGAUGUAAAGUGCUGCAGGCUCGAUGAAACAAAUCACACACUGAAACGCUGACCAAAGGAAGACUAUAAUGCCGAAUCAAAACAAGAGGAUUCCAGUGGAAGCUUUAACGUCUACACACAGACUCGCUUCCUUCCCAUGGUGACACUGGCACACUGGUGGUUUAAAACCCUGGAGGAUCUUUCGCCUGACUGUGGCUCCGGUAGAGGACACCAUUACAGUUGGAGGACAAUGGAGGAGGUGGUAAACAGGAGGUUGAGAAGGAGAAGAAAGAGAGGGACAGAUGGGAGGAGGACACAUGAGACCGAGACAAAGGCUUCAACAGAUCGACUACUGUUGGACCCGUUCCCUGAAAAUGACAAUAAAUCAUCGUGAUUCAUAAAAGUCCACAUGUGUAAAAUCAACCAUGCAAGGAUGCUGAGGAAUCGCUCAUGAUUUCCUCCAUGUUAUAUAUCUCUGCAUGAGAGCCCAUCCCCCUUUCGUGCCUGCAGUGAGAGCAGGCAGGCUGGUAAAGUUGGGGGCAGGGCGACUCUCUUUCUUUGAUUCUCUGGAGCCUGCUGACAGCUGCUCGCUGAGGCCCGGGGCUGCUGCCUACUGCUGGGCCAGAACCACAGCCACAUCCUGGAAGAAUCAGCGAGGAUCUCAUGCACUCAUUCACGGCCGAGAAAACGACCACAGACCGGACUAACCUGAAAUAAAAAGACAGCCUUGACAAAGAAGUCCCAAUGUUUACUCAAUCUGUCCACUUGUGUUAAUAUUUGAGGAAUCCCUGUGUGGCAGCGCGGUGUGGCAGAGACACAUGACUCACAAGCGCACACCGUUUAACAGUUUAAAGUCCAUCACGACCGGCGGCUGCUUCCUGUUGGGGUCCAAACUGUGAUUACCGGGGUCACGUGGCUUGACCCUCUGGCUGUCAUGUAAAUUGUCAAGUUGAGCCGCACCCAGAUCCUUCAGAAAUGUUUUCUAGUCUCUUCCUGGAACCGCGCAAGGGCGAGUUUGGGAAGGCUGCAUAUUUGGCAAUUGUAGGAGAAAAUAAAUUGGAAAAUUGCAUCAUGUUGAGGAACACGCACAGCUGAAAUGUCCUCAAUCAGAACUGGAAUCACUUUUAUGGCUAACAAGGACACACACACACGGACAUUUUACAGUGCAAGUUCAAUUCUAUUUUUCACCUUCAAGCCAUAAUAUUUUAAUAAAUCAGAAAAAAUGACCUACGUAUAAAACAUUUAUUAUCCCUAUUACAUUAUAAAAGCAUCGAGCUAGAGGGGGUAGGCUGGCCACCAGUGAAUGUAAAUGAGAGACUCAAGUAAUCAAACCCCCGAAUGAUUAACUCGGAUCAAUAAAACGACCCAAUUUAAAAAGCUUGGCCAGCGAACUUGGGCUGUCAAUACAGAUGACAGCAGUGAGAAAUGACUCUGAGGCAUCAAGGACAAAGGAGGAGGCAGCUCUCCGGUGCUACAGCUCUGGAGACGCGCCAAGGCCUGUUUUUGAAGCCACCAUGCCAUUUGCCUAGCAACUCCAGGGACAGGUGGAACACGUCAAGUAAACACAGACAUGCCGGGCUGCGUGGCUUUCAUUUUCCUCUUGACAGUGAAGCUUAGAGGAGCACAUUUUCACACAGUAAGAGGAUAAGUGUUCACUGCGGUGAAUACAGCGGCAACUGCAUCCUCUGUUUCUGUUUCUAACAAGUCCGAGUGAAGAUACUGUAUACUUUACUAUAUUGUGCAAAACAAUUGUUUCUGCAGGCCCCCCUGUCAAUGGAAACCUAUUUCUGCCGAGAACAACAAAAAAAUUGUCAGCGUAUGUUUCUGCAAAGCACAGAUGUGAUGAAAUUGUACAUUUGUAUAUGUUGCAACUUUUUUACGCUUCUUCAGGUUCAUUUUUAUCUUUUGACAACGGUUUGUUUAUGCUCUGGUUAGGUUUAAGCACAGAAAUCACUCUAAAUAUAGUCUUUGGCUUAAAAUACCUGUUUUGGUCACAAAUAAACACAAGUGUCACCAAAAAUACAGCAAAAAAUUGUCCCGAGGACUCAUUUAAACUCCUGAAUGGUGUCACAAUUACAAAUGUUGAAACGCAGUGCUGAACUGCGGUCACUGGCUUGGCAGCCUUUUCGCCUGUAACCUCCCCUCCAGCUCCUGAUGUGAAUAAAUAAGUAAUGUGAACAUGACAUCAAACGUAUAGAAAUGUAAGUACAAAUUUGAAUGA
Long non-coding RNA from Acanthopagrus latus (yellowfin seabream), 3132 nucleotides. RefSeq lists it as uncharacterized. The record is from RefSeq and is a predicted model, not a curated record. Lineage: Eukaryota; Metazoa; Chordata; Actinopteri; Spariformes; Sparidae. The transcript is spliced from 7 exons.